RNAcentral lists this unclassified non-coding RNA (145 nucleotides) under uncultured Ascomycota. RNAcentral describes it as "sequence contains ITS1". Lineage: Eukaryota; Fungi; Ascomycota. The record is from RNAcentral.
CUGAGUGAGGGCCUUCGGGCUCGACCUCCAACCCUUUGUGAACACAUCUUGUUGCUUCGGGGGCGACCCUGCCGUUCCGCGGCGAGCGCCCCCGGAGGUCUCCCAACACUGCAUCUUUGCGUCGGAGUUUAAGUAAAUUUAAACA